RNAcentral lists this ribosomal RNA (483 nucleotides) under uncultured bacterium. Its description in RNAcentral is "partial 16S ribosomal RNA". It matches the Rfam family "Bacterial small subunit ribosomal RNA", at positions 28 to 507 of the family's 1533-position model. The record is from RNAcentral.
GACGAACGCUGGCGGCGUGCUUAACACAUGCAAGUCGAACGCUGAAGCUCAGCUUUUGUUGGGUGGAUGAGUGGCGAACGGGUGAGUAACACGUGAGUAACCUGCCCCCUUCUUUGGGAUAACGCCCGGAAACGGGUGCUAAUACUGGAUAUUCACUGGUCUUCGCAUGGGGGUUGGUGGAAAGGGUUUUUCUGGUGGGGGAUGGGCUCGCGGCCUAUCAGCUUGUUGGUGGGGUGAUGGCCUACCAAGGCCUUGACGGGUAGCCGGCCUGAGAGGGUGACCGGUCACAUUGGGACUGAGAUACGGCCCAGACUCCUACGGGAGGCAGCAGUGGGGAAUAUUGCACAAUGGGCGCAAGCCUGAUGCAGCGACGCCGCGUGAGGGAUGGAGGCCUUCGGGUUGUGAACCUCUUUCGCUCAUGGUCAAGCCGCAACAAUGGUUGUGGUGAGGGUAGUGGGUAAAGAAGCGCCGGCUAACUACGUG